AAGGUCGAGCGGAGUCAGUAAGUAGGAAGUUUUCGGAUGGAAUCUUAUUGAUUUAGCGGCGGACGGGUGAGUACGCGUGAGCGACCAACCUUGCACGAGGGGAUAACGGACCGAAAGGUUCACUAAUACCGCAUGAGACCACGGUGUUGCAUGACACAGGGGUCAAAGGAGUAAUCCGGUGCAAGACGGGCUCGCGUCCGAUUAGGUAGUUGGAGGGGUAACGGCCCACCAAGCCUAUGAUCGGUAGCCGACCUGAGAGGGUGAUCGGCACAUUGGAACUGAGAUACGGUCCAAACUCCUACGGGAGGCAGCAGUGGGGAAUAUUGGGCAAUGGGGGAAACCCUGACCCAGCAACGCCGCGUGAAGGAAGAAGGUUUUCGGAUUGUAAACUUCUGUCCUUGGUGAAGAGAAGAAGACGGUAGCCAAGGAGGAAGCCCCGGCUAACUACGUGCCAGCCGCCGC
This 462-nucleotide ribosomal RNA is filed under the name uncultured bacterium. Its description in RNAcentral is "bacterial SSU rRNA". It matches the Rfam family "Bacterial small subunit ribosomal RNA", at positions 58 to 518 of the family's 1533-position model. The record is from RNAcentral.